CAGGGUGGUCCUGGUCCUGGAACACUUCUGAUCAGAUGAGAAAUGCGCUUGUGGCAGGUGGUAGUUAGGAAUCCAUGACGGGCAAUUGGGAUUGAGCUCAGUUUGGGUCAAAACACUUGGAGUCGUGUUUGGGCCUUGGUGUUUGGCGUUCAUGGAUACUCACAGUCUAUGAAUCAUGGAGAACCACAACAGGGACUCACCUACCCAGAGUGACGAGCCCGAGAUGAAAGUGGGCACGUUUCUGUGCAAACCAAUCCAACAGCCAGUCUGGAGGCAGAGAGGGAAGCCGCCUAGAUGAAUAUCCCCCAUGAGCUUCUGAUAUACAAGACAGCAGCCAGGUUUGAAAAGGGCAUUCAUUGCAUCUGGACUCAUCCUUAGCAUUCCUUGGGAGGACCACUUGACAAAAUCCACACUGCAACAAAAGAGCAAAGGAGGCUGUUAAAACGAGGUCUAAUUUUAAGAGUAAGCCAUACUUGAGCUGUAGGACAUGGCUGGUAAGAAAUUCACAGAUUUACAGCCUCUAUGUUAAGCACGUCACUUGCAGCAGGUAAAAUGGCCAGUCCCUGUCCACCGGCAUACUUGAGCGUGCCUCCCACCAGCAAUAAUGCCUUUUGUUUAAUUGUGGUUUUCCUGGCCUGACUGCCUCUCAGCAGCAUCACUAAUGUUCAGAGCUCUGCUGAAACAUUUUAUGUUCCCUCCAAUGUCAGCUCAUCUGAAACAAAGCUAAUGCAUCCCUCAGAAGGAAAUGAUCCUUUCAGUUAAAGUAGCAGUAGAUCUCAAGGCCACUGCAAGCACGCAAAGAAGAUUAACAGGCUUCGGAGCUCUAGGGACAUAAAUAAUAGUAUCACACGUGCAUGGCAAUUCCGUUCUGAGCAGUGUGCUGUGAAGUGCAGGCAAGAUGGCAAGGAAAUGUUUGAAUACAGGAAUAGAUUAUUCCACUGCUGACUCCCUUACAUGAGCUGGUUACAGCUGGGUCAUUUUCUCCUUUUCAUUCACAUAUAUUUAAGCAAUUUUCAUCCCCCUCUCAUUGCCCUCUCCAUUUCUUUGGCAUUUAUAUUACUUCCAAAAGACACCACUACGAAUGAUUCA
Long non-coding RNA from Mauremys reevesii (Reeves's turtle), 1089 nucleotides. RefSeq lists it as uncharacterized. The transcript is spliced from 3 exons. The record is from RefSeq and is a predicted model, not a curated record. Lineage: Eukaryota; Metazoa; Chordata; Testudines; Geoemydidae.